Molecule: transfer-messenger RNA, 399 nt
Filed under: uncultured Prevotella sp.
Lineage: Bacteria; Pseudomonadati; Bacteroidota; Bacteroidia; Bacteroidales; Prevotellaceae
Rfam family: transfer-messenger RNA
About the family: Bacterial tmRNA, also known as 10Sa RNA or SsrA, is named for its dual tRNA and mRNA-like properties.
Source: RNAcentral
GGGGCUGUUUGGAUUUGACAGCGGGUCGAGGCGGUAUGUAAGCAUGUGGAGCUGAGAUGGUAAGCUCCUUAAUCUCUGCUAUCAAAGAUUUAUCUGGCGAAACACGUUACGCUCUCGCUGCCUAAUCGAAGUACAGUAGAUUACUGGCUUAAUCCCGGCACAAGGUGCUGAGACGAGACAUCGCUCAGAAGCUCUUGUCCCGAAGCGUCUGAUAUAGCGGUGUAGGAAUAUCGGGGAUAGCCGUCUGUCUGUCUCGGGCAUACGGUAAAAUCUUAUGAGACUAAGGCGUCGGUUGGUGGUCCAGGUCUUGCUGCCGCACGAAAAUGAAGUCUGGAAUAAACAUGUAGAAAGCAUAUUGUUUCCCUGUUUGGACGAGGGUUCGACUCCCUCCAGCUCCAC